CAGCCGCCGCGGGAAUACGUAGGUGGCAAGCGUUGUCCGGAAUUAUUGGGCGUAAAGGGCUCGCAGGCGGUUUCUUAAGUCUGAUGUGAAAGCCCCCGGCUCAACCGGGGAGGGUCAUUGGAAACUGGGAAACUUGAGUGCAGAAGAGGAGAGUGGAAUUCCACGUGUAGCGGUGAAAUGCGUAGAGAUGUGGAGGAACACCAGUGGCGAAGGCGACUCUCUGGUCUGUAACUGACGCUGAGGAGCGAAAGCGUGGGGAGCGAACAGGAUUAGAUACCCCGGUAGUCCCUGUCUCUUAUAC
Molecule: ribosomal RNA, 301 nt
Filed under: uncultured bacterium
Lineage: Bacteria
Description: partial 16S ribosomal RNA
Rfam family: Bacterial small subunit ribosomal RNA
Source: RNAcentral